AACGAACGCUGGCAGCGUGGAUUAGGCAUGCAAGUCGAACGGGAUCGGGCCUAGUAGCAAUACGAGGUUCGUGAGAGUGGCGGAAGGGCGAGUAAUGCGCGAGCAACCUGCCCUCUUGCCGGGAACAACCCUUGGAAACGGGGGCUAAUACCGGAUGUGGCACCUCAAGGCAUCUUGAGGCUGUUAAACGUGGGGACCCUUCGGGGCCUGCGGCAAGAGGAUGGGCUCGCGUGCCAUCAGCUUGUUGGUGAGGUAACGGCUCACCAAGGCUUACGGCUAGCUGGUCUGAGAGGACGAUCAGCCGCACUGGGACUGAGACACUGCCCAGACUCCUACGGGAGGCUGCAGUCGAGGAUCAUUCGCAAUGGGGGGAACCCUGACGAUGCGACGCUGCGUGGAGGAUGAAGGCCCUCGGGUCGUAAACUCCUGUCAUGAGGGGGUAAGAGAACACGGUAAACAGCCGUUGUUAUUUGACGGUACCUCAAGAGGAGCCACGGCUAACUCUGUGCCAGCAGCCGCGGU
This 522-nucleotide ribosomal RNA is filed under the name uncultured bacterium. RNAcentral describes it as "bacterial SSU rRNA". It matches the Rfam family "Bacterial small subunit ribosomal RNA", at positions 28 to 521 of the family's 1533-position model. The record is from RNAcentral.